GAUGAACGCUGGCGGCGUGCUUAACACAUGCAAGUCGAACGAGAAGUGAAGACGGAAACCUUCGGGCGGAAGGCUUUAUUUCGAGUGGCGGACGGGUGAGUAACGCGUGGGUAACCUGCCUCAUACAGGGGGAUAACAGUUGGAAACGACUGUUAAUACCGCAUAAGACCACAGCACCGCAUGGUGCGGGGGUAAAAACUCCGGUGGUAUGAGAUGGACCCGCGUUCGAUUAGCCAGUUGGCGGGGUAACGGCCCACCAGAGCGACGAUCGAUAGCCGAUCUGAGAGGAUGACCGGCCACAUUGGGACUGAGACACGGCCCAAACUCCUACGGGAGGCAGCAGUGGGGAAUAUUGCACAAUGGGGGAAACCCUGAUGCAGCGACGCCGCGUGAGUGAAGAAGUAUUUCGGUAUGUAAAGCUCUAUCAGCAGGGAAGAAAAUGACGGUACCUGAGUAAGAAGCCCCGGCUAACUACGUG
Molecule: ribosomal RNA, 478 nt
Filed under: uncultured bacterium
Lineage: Bacteria
Description: partial 16S ribosomal RNA
Rfam family: Bacterial small subunit ribosomal RNA
Source: RNAcentral